UGGGGAAUAUUGCACAAUGGGGGAAACCCUGAUGCAGCGACGCCGCGUGAACGAAGAAGGUAUUCGUAUCGUAAAGUUCUGUCCUAUGGGAAGAUAAUGACAGUACCAUAGAAGAAAGCUCCGGCUAAAUACGUGCCAGCAGCCGCGGUAAUACGUAUGGAGCGAGCGUUGUCCGGAAUUAUUGGGCGUAAAGGGUACGCAGGCGGUUUAAUAAGUCGAAUGUUAAAGAUCGGGGCUCAACCCCGUAAAGCAUUGGAAACUGAUAAACUUGAGUAGUGGAGAGGAAAGUGGAAUUCCUAGUGUAGUGGUGAAAUACGUAGAUAUUAGGAGGAAUACCAGUAGCGAAGGCGACUUUCUGGACACAAACUGACGCUGAGGUACGAAAGCGUGGUGAGCAAACAGG
Molecule: ribosomal RNA, 403 nt
Filed under: bacterium
Lineage: Bacteria
Description: partial 16S ribosomal RNA
Rfam family: Bacterial small subunit ribosomal RNA
Source: RNAcentral